This 446-nucleotide ribosomal RNA is filed under the name uncultured bacterium. RNAcentral's name for it is "partial 16S ribosomal RNA". It matches the Rfam family "Bacterial small subunit ribosomal RNA", at positions 338 to 795 of the family's 1533-position model. The record is from RNAcentral.
CCUACGGGAGGCUGCAGUCGAGAAUCAUUCACAAUGGGGGAAACCCUGAUGGUGCGACGCCGCGUGGGGGAAUGAAGGUCUUCGGAUUGUAAACCCCUGUCAUGUGGGAGCAAAUUAAAAAGAUAGUACCACAAGAGGAAGCGACGGCUAACGCUGUGCCAGCAGCCGCGGUAAUACAGAGGUCUCAAGCGUUGUUCGGAAUCACUGGGCGUAAAGCGUGCGUAGGCUGUUGCGUAAGUCGUGUGUGAAAGUCGCGGGCUCAACCCGCAGACGGCACAUGAUACUGCGAGACUAGAGUAAUGGAGGGGGAACCGGAAUUCUCGGUGUAGCAGUGAAAUGCGUAGAUAUAGGGAGGAACACUCGUGGCGAAGGCGGGUUGCUGGACAUUAACUGACGCUGAGGCACGAAGGCCAGGGGAGCGAAAGGGAUUAGAUACCCCAGUAGUC